AGUUUGAUCCUGGCUCAGGACGAACGCUGGCGGCGUGCUUAACACAUGCAAGUCGUACGGAGAAUUUAUUUCGGUAAAUUCUUAGUGGCGAACGGGUAAGUAACACGUGGGCAACCUGCCUCGUGGUUGGGGACAACAUUCCGAAAGGAGUGCUAAUACCGAAUACGCUCCAUUACCGGCAUCGGUUUUGGAGGAAAGAUGGCCUCUAUUUAUAAGCUAUCACCAUGAGAUGGGCCUGCGUCUGAUUAGCUAGUUGGUGAGGUAACGGCCCACCAAGGCGAUGAUCAGUAGCUGGUCUGAGAGGAUGAACGGCCACAUUGGGACUGAGACACGGCCCAAACUCCUACGGGAGGCAGCAGUGGGGAAUCUUCCGCAAUGGGCGAAAGCCUGACGGAGCAACGCCGCGUGAGUGAUGAAGGCCUUCGGGCUGUAAAACUCUGUUGUCAGGGACGAAGGUGCACCUUUCGAACAGAUGGGUGUAUUGACGGUACCUGACGAGGAAGCCACGGCUAACUACGUGCCAGCAGCCGCGGUAAUACGUAUGUGGCAAGCGUUGUCCGGAAUUAUUGGGCGUAAAGAGCAUGUAGGCGGGCCUUUAAGUCCGACGUGAAAAUGCGGGGCUCAACCCCGUAUGGCGUUGGAUACUGGAGGUCUUGAGUGCAAGGAAAAGGAAAUGGGGAUUCCCAGUGUAGCGGUGAAAUGCGUAAAUAUUGGGAAGAACACCAGUGGCGAAGGCCCUUUCUGACUGUGUCUGACGCUCAAAUGCGAAGCUAGGUAGCAACGGGAUAAAUACCCGUAGUCUAGCGUAACGAUGGGUACUAGUGUGGGAGUUCACCCUUCUGCGAUUACCAAUAAGUACCCCCGCCUGGGGAUUCGAUCGCAAGAUUGAAAUUCAAAAGGAAUUGCCGGGGCCCGCACAAGCGGUGGAGUAUGUGGUUUAUUUCGGCGCAACGGAAGAACCUUUCCAAGGCUUGACAUUGAGUGAAAGGGUAAGAGAUUAGCCCCUCUUUCGGAGACACGAAAACAGGUGGUGCAUGGCUGUGUCAGCCUGUGUCGUGAGAUGUUGGGUUAAGUCCCGCAACGAGCGCAACCCCUAUCCUAUGUUACUAGCGGGUAAUGCCGGGGACUCAUAGGAGACUGCCAGGGAUAACCUGGAGGAAGGCGGGGAUGACGUCAAGUCAUCAUGCCCCUUAUGUCUUGGGCUACACACGUACUACAAUGGUCGGCAACAAAGGGCAGCGAAACCGCGAGGUGGAGCAAAUCCCAUAAACCCGGCCUCAGUUCAGACCGUAGGCUGCAACCCGCCUACGCGAAGUCGGAAUCGCUAGUAAUCGCAGGUCAGCAUACUGCGGUGAAUACGUUCCCGGGCCUUGUACACACCGCCCGUCACACCACGAAAGUUGGUAACACCCGAAGCCGGUGAGAUAACUCGCAAGAGAGUCAGCUGUCUAAGGUGGGGCCGAUGAUUGGGGUGAAGUCGUAACAAGGUAACCGUAUGGUUACCUUGUUACGACUUAUCCUGAGCCAGGAUCAAACUCU
This 1539-nucleotide ribosomal RNA is filed under the name uncultured bacterium. RNAcentral's name for it is "bacterial SSU rRNA". It matches the Rfam family "Bacterial small subunit ribosomal RNA". The record is from RNAcentral.